This 73-nucleotide transfer RNA is filed under the name Ailuropoda melanoleuca (giant panda). It matches the Rfam family "tRNA". Rfam says of the family: Transfer RNA (tRNA) molecules are approximately 80 nucleotides in length. Their secondary structure includes four short double-helical elements and three loops (D, anti-codon, and T loops). The record is from Rfam by way of RNAcentral. Lineage: Eukaryota; Metazoa; Chordata; Mammalia; Carnivora; Ursidae.
ACCUGGCUGGCUUGGUCAGAAGAGCACAGGACUCUUGAUCUUGGGGCCAUGAGUUCGAACCCCAUGUGGGGUG